AUUGAACGCUGGCGGCAUGCCUUACACAUGCAAGUCGAACGGUAGCGCGGGGUAACCUGGCGACGAGUGGCGAACGGGUGAGUAAUGCAUCGGAACGUGCCCUGGAAUGGGGGAUAACGUAGCGAAAGUUACGCUAAUACCGCAUAUUCUGUGAGCAGGAAAGCAGGGGAUCGCAAGACCUUGCGUUCUGGGAGCGGCCGAUGUCGGAUUAGCUAGUUGGUGGGGUAAAGGCCUACCAAGGCGACGAUCCGUAGCGGGUCUGAGAGGAUGAUCCGCCACACUGGGACUGAGACACGGCCCAGACUCCUACGGGAGGCAGCAGUGGGGAAUUUUGGACAAUGGGCGGAAGCCUGAUCCAGCCAUGCCGCGUGAGUGAAGAAGGCCUUCGGGUU
RNAcentral lists this ribosomal RNA (392 nucleotides) under uncultured bacterium. RNAcentral describes it as "bacterial SSU rRNA". It matches the Rfam family "Bacterial small subunit ribosomal RNA", at positions 29 to 424 of the family's 1533-position model. The record is from RNAcentral.